UCUUAAUAAUUCACUAAUGCUUUCAUGGUCUAAAAAAUAAUGUAUGUAAGUAAUGUAUAAGUUAAAGUAUAUAGUAAUGUAUAAGUUGCAUGUAAUGAAAUAAUAUUUCCUUUCUUUCUGUCUUACAGGAUUGUUUGCAGAUAAUGCUGUUCUUCUUUUUCAGAAGUUUUUGGGGAGCCAACCCUCACAAACCUUCCUAAAAACUAAAAGAGCUAUUACUGAGUCUCAGCGACUCUUGCCACGAUCAGCUCUUCCCAGAAGAGAAGGAAGACCAAGGAAAUGAUUUGCUCAGGAUGAGGAAUGAAGAUGGUCAUCUUGUGCUCAAGCAAACAGAAGUCCUCUGAUGAUCUCAUCAACCAAAUGAGGGGUUUUGACCAAGUGAUGCUCUUGAAAGGACUGAAAGAAGAGGAUGUGGUAAAUUGUCUUCAGAGAAAAAGCUUCUCAAAAGAUCUUAAAACAGCUUGAAGAAUGGUCUGGGAUCUUAGGACUGGGAGAUCUCACCGGCACCCAGUUAACCUCCAUAGAGAACAUUUAUCAGAAGCGCUGUCUGGGUAGGGCAAGAAACAUCAUCAAGGAUGCCUCUCACCCUAACCAUGGACCUUUCACCCUCCUUCCAUCCGGCAGGCGUUAAAGGAGCCUACGCUCUCGAACUAGUAGACUCAGGAAGAGCUUCUUCCCCGAGGCUGUGACACUCCUGAACACCGCACCACCAAUCUAACCUGCACCUGCUCUUUUACUGCACUGGUCACAGUACUUUACAUACAUGUAUUGCACUACUCAUAUUUUGCACAGACUGCACAUGGUUAAAUCUAUUACACUAUAAACUGUCUAAAGCUGUUACUGUACAAGCACAGUAAACUAUUUCUACAGUAAAUAUAAUUGCACUACUAUUAUUUUGCAUAUAAUAAAUUGUUAAACUAUACUUUUGCACACUCAUUCAACUGUAUUUAUUACCACUGUUCUCAAGUUCCUGCUAUUCAUAAUGUAUAUAUAAUCCUUCUUUGCUCUGUUCAUAAUGUACAUACAAUCCCUACAUUACAUUCAUAUUUAUAUUCUGUAUAUACUCUGAUCAAUAUUGUAUAUAGCAACUCCACUGUACAUUCUGUAUAUCAUAGCUUUACUUACUCUGCACUUUUAUGUAUAUAAAACACUAUAUUCUUGCACUUCUGGUUAGAUGCUAACUGCAUUUCAUUAGCUCUGUACUUGUACUCUGCAUAAUGACAAUAAAGUUGAAUCUAAUCUAAUCUAAUCUAAUCUAAUCUAAUCUUCUGGCUGAGAACAAGCUACACCACAUCAGUGCUGGAUAUCAACCACAAGCUGUUUCCAGACACGAGAGAAGAUCACGAUGAAACCAGUUUAGAAGUGUUGAUAAGGAAUCAUUAUUUUCUGAAACAGUAUCAAAUGUC
Long non-coding RNA from Carassius gibelio (silver crucian carp), 1406 nucleotides. RefSeq lists it as uncharacterized. Lineage: Eukaryota; Metazoa; Chordata; Actinopteri; Cypriniformes; Cyprinidae. The record is from RefSeq and is a predicted model, not a curated record. The transcript has 4 exons.